RNAcentral lists this ribosomal RNA (224 nucleotides) under uncultured bacterium. RNAcentral describes it as "partial 16S ribosomal RNA". It matches the Rfam family "Bacterial small subunit ribosomal RNA", at positions 337 to 573 of the family's 1533-position model. The record is from RNAcentral.
UCCUACGGGAGGCAGCAGUGGGGAAUAUUGCACAAUGGGCGGAAGCCUGAUGCAGCAACGCCGCGUGCGGGAUGACGGCCUUCGGGUUGUAAACCGCUUUCGCCUGUGACGAAGCGUGAGUGACGGUAGUGGGUAAAGAAGCACCGGCUAACUACGUGCCAGCAGCCGCGGUGAUACGUAGGGUGCGAGCGUUGUCCGGAUUUAUUGGGCGUAAAGGGCUCGUA